This 63-nucleotide transfer RNA is filed under the name Cavia porcellus (domestic guinea pig). It matches the Rfam family "tRNA", at positions 5 to 66 of the family's 71-position model. From Rfam's summary of the family: Transfer RNA (tRNA) molecules are approximately 80 nucleotides in length. The record is from Rfam by way of RNAcentral. Lineage: Eukaryota; Metazoa; Chordata; Mammalia; Rodentia; Caviidae.
AUAUAGCUGAGUGGCACAGUGCCUGCCUAGCAAGCAUGAGGUCCUGAGUUCAAUUCCCAGUAU